RNAcentral lists this ribosomal RNA (276 nucleotides) under uncultured bacterium. Its description in RNAcentral is "partial 16S ribosomal RNA". It matches the Rfam family "Bacterial small subunit ribosomal RNA", at positions 28 to 300 of the family's 1533-position model. The record is from RNAcentral.
GACGAACGCUGGCGGCGUGCUUAACACAUGCAAGUCGAGCGGUAAGGCCCUUUCGGGGUACGACGAGCGGCGAACGGGUGAGUAACACGUGGGUGACCUGCCCUCCAGCUCUGGGAGUAAAGCCUGGGAAACCGGGGUACUAAUACUGGAUAUGACUCCAUGACGCAUGUUGUGGGGUGGAAAGCCUUGUGCGGCUGAGGAUGGGCCCGCGGCCUAUCAGCUUGUUGGUGGGGUGAUGGCCUACCAAGGCGACGACGGGUAGCCGGCCUGAGAGGG